RNAcentral lists this ribosomal RNA (822 nucleotides) under Klebsiella pneumoniae. RNAcentral's name for it is "partial 23S ribosomal RNA". It matches the Rfam family "Bacterial large subunit ribosomal RNA", at positions 1 to 867 of the family's 2925-position model. Lineage: Bacteria; Pseudomonadati; Pseudomonadota; Gammaproteobacteria; Enterobacterales; Enterobacteriaceae. The record is from RNAcentral.
GGUUAAGCGACUAAGCGUACACGGUGGAUGCCCUGGCAGUCAGAGGCGAUGAAGGACGUGCUAAUCUGCGAAAAGCGUCGGUAAGGUGAUAUGAACCGUUAUAACCGGCGAUGUCCGAAUGGGGAAACCCAGUGUGAUUCGUCACACUAUCGUUAACUGAAUACAUAGGUUAACGAGGCGAACCGGGGGAACUGAAACAUCUAAGUACCCCGAGGAAAAGAAAUCAACCGAGAUUCCCCCAGUAGCGGCGAGCGAACGGGGAGCAGCCCAGAGUCUGAAUCAGCUUGUGUGUUAGUGGAACGGUCUGGAAAGUCCGACGGUACAGGGUGAUAGUCCCGUACACCAAAAUGCACAGGCUGUGAACUCGAAGAGUAGGGCGGGACACGUGGUAUCCUGUCUGAAUAUGGGGGGACCAUCCUCCAAGGCUAAAUACUCCUGACUGACCGAUAGUGAACCAGUACCGUGAGGGAAAGGCGAAAAGAACCCCGGCGAGGGGAGUGAAAAAGAACCUGAAACCGUGUACGUACAAGCAGUGGGAGCACCUUCGGGUGUGACUGCGUACCUUUUGUAUAAUGGGUCAGCGACUUAUAUUCUGUAGCAAGGUUAACCGUAUAGGGGAGCCGCAGGGAAACCGAGUCUUAACUGGGCGUUAAGUUGCAGGGUAUAGACCCGAAACCCGGUGAUCUAGCCAUGGGCAGGUUGAAGGUUGGGUAACACUAACUGGAGGACCGAACCGACUAAUGUUGAAAAAUUAGCGGAUGACUUGUGGCUGGGGGUGAAAGGCCAAUCAAACCGGGAGAUAGCUGGUUCUCCCCGAAAGCU